CCGGAAUAGUAGUUAGGUAGACUGUAGUACUAUGAAAUUACCAGCAACAGUUGAGCUUUCAUAGGAAGGACAGCAGUCAUGCUUAGCCCGUGCGUAAUAAUGAGCUCAUACAAACCUGCUUAUAAGCCAUAGGUAUCAUGGAGUUUCCCCCUGAAAAACAAACAGCAAUUAUGCUGAUGACAGUAAUCGCAUUAUAGCAAGUUUAUUGGAGAAGCAAAUGUCCUAAAGUUAGAAACUUCAGCUAAAACAACACAGGCAUAACAAUGAUGACAGCAAACUAAUCCAAAAUUUCUCUUCAAGGUUUGAGAAUGAAGCCAAAAGACACAACCUUUGAUUUGUUAUAGCCCAGAAGCCAACGAAGAACAAAAUAUAGUAUCAAUCAAUUUCCUCCCGCCAAGCAAAUUGAAAUGAAGUUUAGUAGCCCCAAUCAACAAUGAUCAAGUUAAACCCAACCAUUAAUCAUCGAUCAAAAUCCCAAAAAUCCAUACAAAAUAAAAGACAACCCAAACAAGUUUGAAUGUAAUAGAAAGAGUAGAAAGUACCUUGACUCCAUUUCAAGCAGAGCGGAGGAAGGGGACGACGGAGUUGAAGCAGGAAGCGGGUAACCUCCACGCGCGCGCGCGAAUUUCAAGGGACUUAGUUUGGGGUCGGUUUCCAAGCACGACCCAACCUGAAUGGGCUGGGAUAUAAAGUUUCUCAUUUUGAACUUCUUAUUAGGAAUAUUACCUACCAAUUUCAUGAUCGAUGAAUGUCGUCACAUUUUGGUAAAUAUUUUGGAGAAGCACAUGUCCCGGAAUGAAAGCUGCAUAAGCUAAUAGAAAGGAGACGAACAAUAUAUUUUGAGCGAUACUUGUAUGAUUAUGCAUGUGUAUUCAUAGGGAAGCACAAGACCAAAACCAUCUUACACAUAAUUUUUUUUAGUACUGAUACUGUUACUAGAAAAGAUCUAAGAAAUACUUUCAAGGACAUUAGUACUGGAAACUCUGCAAUGUUGUAGAACACGCAAUUACCAUAACAUCAGCAUAAUGAGGCCAUAACAGGGGAGGGUAUGGUCAGGGGAUUAAAAAAUCAUACCCAUAUCUUAUUUCAUUUCCAAUCCCCAUGCCCGUCCCAAACCUCGUAAGGGAUUCCUCGUCCCCAUCCCCUUUGGUGAUUACGUUCCUAUACCUGCCCGGAUCCCCGUUAACAAUUAUUUAAUAAAUUAAUUUUUUAAAAAAUUUAGAAAUACACAAAUAUGAAAUUAGAAUCAAAUACCAAAAUAAAUAAGUUUCUUUAUUCAAUUUAACAAAAACGAAUACGACUCUCGCUUAAAAAAAAAGUUUCUAUAAAUAUUCAUUAUGAGAAUCAGAAUAAGAAAAAAAAUAUUGCAAACAAUUUUUACAUAAAUAUCUAUUUAUAAAUUAUAUAUAAUAAAUUAUAUAUAAUAAUAUUUCUAAUCCUAAAUGGGUGGGGACGGGAACAAAUAUUAAAAUAUCAUAAACGUCCCGUAUCUGAUUCAAAAAUCUGAAUACUGGGAAUCUCCAUACCCGUUACACAUUUAUCCCCGUACCUCGUUAGGAUCGAAUACCAUGCGUAGGUCUAGGCUCAUCACGGCCUGUUACCCGUUACCCAUUAGGUCUAGACACAUCACGGCCCAAACUGCCUAGACAUGGACCGUCUCUGCCUAGCCUGCUAAAAGCCUAAGUCACUUUUUUUUUUUUCCAACAAGUAGGGGGGGGGGGGUGGGGGAUGCCAUUCUAUUCUGAUUAUAGGUAGCUAGAGUUUCUUCUGUUUCAUAUUUCUUCUCUAGUGAACGUAUCAUAUAUUCAUAUUCAGUAAUUAAAACUCGUCUUUUUUCAAAAGUAAUGAAAUGUUAUACGAAAGAGAAGAGUCUCACACUGAGCAAUCAAGGUUCUUUCUUCUUGAUUGGAAUCUUCCUCUUUCUACGUUGUCGUNNN
RNAcentral lists this long non-coding RNA (1937 nucleotides) under Fragaria vesca (wild strawberry). Its description in RNAcentral is "long non-coding RNA (FVES_LNC001528)". The record is from RNAcentral. Lineage: Eukaryota; Viridiplantae; Streptophyta; Magnoliopsida; Rosales; Rosaceae.